CGAGUCUGAAUUAAAUAUACUAACACGACUUGUAAGACAUGCAUUUGUGCUGGAUUUGCAAAUGGAAGAAUUUUUAAACUAAGGAUCGAGUUUACUGGGUUUAAUGCCUGGGCCUACUCGCCUGGCCCAGACUUGCUCUAAUGAAUCCUAAACUUGGGUCUGGUUACAAGCGUGGCCCAAUAUAUUACAUGCAACCAUAUAACAUGUUUAUUACAGAAGAAAUCCUACUAUUGAAAGUCUACUGAUAAUCAAGCUUAGUUUGAAACUUAACAGUCCAUUUACAAUAUUGAAAGUCCAAGACUUUAUACAAGAAAGAUUUUAACUUAACGAAUCACCAUCCUAACAGUCCCUCAUAACUAACAUUAAAAGAAUAAAGAAGAACCUCUUAAAAAAGGAAAUUUUUAUCUACCCUUGAAUUCCUGCCAUCAAAUUCUUCAAAUCCACUGUACCUGAUUGCAAGAGAUCAACUACAGAGUUGUUUCUCACAAGCCAAUUGUUUAAACUCCAACCUUGAAGUUUCUUAUUUCCAAGCCAGCUCAUGUUUCUACCAAGAAUCUCAUGGAUCUGACCAUGAACGGGUCAGAUUCACAAAAUACCUUUAGUUACACUAAUCUACUACAUUAUCAGACCAAGACUUAAACAAAUAAUUCAAAAACGGUUGUGAUUCAAGGGUUUAACCAUGUCAAAGGUCAAACUCAUGAACCAACAAAGGUUUCAAACCCCAAGUCAUGACAUGCUCCCUUAGGAAAUACCAAAAUGGACCAAAAGGGAAGGGAGGGGGUGGUUUAAUCCAUGAAUUUUAUCAUGUAUGAGUCAGGCUCAAUAAACCAACCAAGUUUCAAGCAUAUGGAUCUAAACAUACUACCUAGCUAAUACAAGGAAAAACAUAAACGCAUACUAGCUGAAAUAAAUGAAUGAUCAAUGUUAAAAUCAUAUAAAGAACAGAUUCUCACGAUAUAGAACCAAAGAGGCAAAAGACCAUUCAUUUAAGAAGGAUGAUAUUCAACAUGAUUGCAACUUUAAACAAACAAAACAUACAUAUAUGUAAAUCUUGAAAAGCAAAAAAUCAACUGCAUUCAACUUAAGUUCCAUUUAUAAAUACUGAAAUGGAAGAAACAUGUGUACCUUGAAACAACAAUUAAAUAACAACAGCUAAAAUGAAAGAAAAAAAUGCUGGAAGGAUUCAGAAUCAAAGACAAAGCAACAGUAAUCAACAUAGCUUCAGAAACUAAGUGAAUACUAGGGUUUCAAAAUCAAAAUCAACCACUUGAAAACCAAAAAAUCCCAAGUAAAUAACCCUCAAAAACUCUCUAUUUCAAUCUAUUUUUCAGCUUAUGAAUCAAAAGAGUAAAAUUAUUUUUUAAAAUCUUUCUAAGGUUUUCUAAAAUCUAGAAAGUGAACCUUUUUUUUUGCAGAGAAUAAUGUUGAUGAUUGCCAAUGAUUGUGUGUAUGAGUGAAUGCUUUAUUUAUAUACCCAAAGAGCAUCCAAGAGAGGAAUAUUCUAACAUGAUUGCUUAUACUGCAGAAUAGUAAAAUAUUUUUGUAUAGUUGUCCGUCAUUUUCUUAUCCAAUUCCAGCAUUUUAUGCUAAUGAUAGGGACAUCUGUGAUAUUCUUAGAACAUGUUGAUAUUCCUUCAAUGUAGAAGUCCAAUUUUACCCUUUUACUUACUAACUAUUUCAAUUAUAAACAAAUUUUAUCCUAUUCUAGCAUUAUUUCAAGA
Molecule: long non-coding RNA, 1721 nt
Filed under: Nicotiana benthamiana
Lineage: Eukaryota; Viridiplantae; Streptophyta; Magnoliopsida; Solanales; Solanaceae
Description: long non-coding RNA (NBEN_LNC016465)
Source: RNAcentral